UUCCGAUGCAAUGAUGAUAUUCUUAUUCCCAGCUCAUUAUGAGACCUACUCAAAGGUCUGGGAAAAGAUUGUUUGACAUAUAUCUGAGCACAAUU
RNAcentral lists this small nucleolar RNA (95 nucleotides) under Nelumbo nucifera (sacred lotus). The record is from RNAcentral. Lineage: Eukaryota; Viridiplantae; Streptophyta; Magnoliopsida; Proteales; Nelumbonaceae.